Molecule: long non-coding RNA, 425 nt
Organism: Gadus macrocephalus (Pacific cod)
Lineage: Eukaryota; Metazoa; Chordata; Actinopteri; Gadiformes; Gadidae
Exons: 3
Source: RefSeq, a predicted model, not a curated record
GCGCUGGGCCGUACCACCAGCUGCAGGUCCCACAGAGAGAGGGUACCAGUAUAUCACCAUAUGGUUCCGUGCACACCCCAUUUCGUGCCCCACAAUAUGCACAAAACGAUGUGACCAUGCAAGGUGACAACGGGCAGCUUUUGAAAGGCAAGUCUAUUAGAAAAUGUUGUGCUAUGUAACCACAGAAGUAUUUUGCACGUUUUUAUCUCAUGACAAUUUGUUUGACAAUUUGUUUUUGCCCUCCAAAAGAUGACAAAAAUGCUUGCCGAAGUGCUGGUGGUUGUCAAUGAACUGUCAAGGGAUGUGCAGUUCAUCAAGGGUGAAUUGGCAGAGGCUAGAAUGACCCCAUCUUGUGGACCAGGGCCAGCCACAAGCCAAGAGAUGUUCCCCAUCCAACUGCCUAUCACCAACGAAGAUGACUUCAA